Molecule: ribosomal RNA, 241 nt
Filed under: uncultured bacterium
Lineage: Bacteria
Description: partial small subunit ribosomal RNA
Rfam family: Bacterial small subunit ribosomal RNA
Source: RNAcentral
AGAAUCAACGCUGGCGGCGUGCCUAACACAUGCAAGUCGAACGAGAACGGGUAGCAAUACCUUAGUAAAGUGGCGCACGGGUGAGUAACACGUGACUAACCUACCCUGGAGUGGGGGAUAACUGAGAGAAAUCUUAGCUAAUACCGCAUAACACCUACGGGUCAAAGGAGCAAUUCGCUUCAGGAGGGGGUCGCGGCAGAUUAGAUAGUUGGCGGGGUAAUGGCCCACCAGUCAGUGAUCU